AUCUUUUUGAAUAAUUCAUAAGUGUGAUGAUUGGGGUUUCACCUCAUGGGUAAGACAUGCCUCCCUCAAACCUUGUUACAAGGUCAGCACAUGACCUGUCUGACA
Molecule: small nucleolar RNA, 105 nt
Organism: Callithrix jacchus (white-tufted-ear marmoset)
Lineage: Eukaryota; Metazoa; Chordata; Mammalia; Primates; Cebidae
Source: Ensembl